GCUGGACUAUUUAUUACCCUUGUCUUUUGCGCACUUGUUGUUUCCUGGGCGGGUUCGCUCGCCACCAGGACCACAAUAUAAACCUUUUUUAUGCAGUUGCAAUCAGCGUCAGUAUAACAAAUGUAAAUCAUUUACAACUUUCAACAACGGAUCUCUUGGUUCUGGCAUCGAUGAAGAACGCAGCGAAAUGCGAUACGUAGUGUGAAUUGCAGAAUUCAGUGAAUCAUCGAAUCUUUGAACGCACAUUGCGCCCUUUGGUAUUCCAAAGGGCAUGCCUGUUCGAGCGUCAUUUGUACCCUCAAGCUUUGCUUGGUGUUGGGCGUUUUUGUCUUUGGCCCGCCAAAGACUCGCCUUAAAAUGAUUGGCAGCCGGCCUACUGGUUUCGCAGCGCAGCACAUUUUUGCGCUUGCAAUCAGCAAAAGAGGACGGCAAUCCAUCAAGACUCCUUCUCACGUUUGACCCCGGAUCAGGUAGGGAUACCCGCUGA
This 487-nucleotide ribosomal RNA is filed under the name fungal sp. DEF4. Its description in RNAcentral is "eukaryotic LSU rRNA". The stretch from base 136 to 289 matches the Rfam family "5.8S ribosomal RNA". Lineage: Eukaryota; Fungi. The record is from RNAcentral.